GACGAACGCUGGCGGCGUGCUUAACACAUGCAAGUCGAACGGAAAGGCCCUGCUUUUGUGGGGUGCUCGAGUGGCGAACGGGUGAGUAACACGUGAGUAACCUGCCCUUGACUUUGGGAUAACUUCAGGAAACUGGGGCUAAUACCGGAUAGGAGCUCCUGCUGCAUGGUGGGGGGUGGAAAGUUUCGGCUGGUGGGGAUGGACUCGCGGCUUAUCAGCUUGUUGGUUGGGGAGUGGCUUACCAAGGCUUUGAAGGGUAGCCGGCCUGAGAGGGUGACCGGCCACCUUGGGACUGCGAUACGGACCAGACUCCUACGGGAGGCAGCAGUGGGGAAUAUUGCCCAAUGGGCGGAAGCCUGAUGCAGAAACGCCGCGUGCGGGAUGACGGCCUUCGGGUUGUAAACAGCUUUAGCCUGUGACGAAGCGUGAGUGACGGUAAUGGGUAAAGAAGCACCGGCUAACUACGUG
This 468-nucleotide ribosomal RNA is filed under the name uncultured bacterium. Its description in RNAcentral is "partial 16S ribosomal RNA". It matches the Rfam family "Bacterial small subunit ribosomal RNA", at positions 28 to 507 of the family's 1533-position model. The record is from RNAcentral.